CUUAUUAGUGUCUUCCUUAUUUGUCUUUAUAUAAUUACUUGCUUACAAAAAAGCAAAAAGAAAAUAAAAUUACUUAGUGGAUGGGUCAAGCACUCAAGCUAUUACAUCAAGUGCACGUUUGGUACCCGGUACUGGAUUAGACCUCCUUAAUUCUUAAGACUGUCCUGCACUAGUGUGAACUGUCUUAAAUUGUACUAAUACUAGGCCACGUUUGGUGUUGCAUGGGAUUAGGAAAAAAAGUUCUAAAUUAGAGAUGUCUCAUGUUUGGUGAUGCAUUGGACUAGACUACUCUAAACAUAACAAUCUUAGUCUAACAAUCUAAACAAUCUUGGUUAUCUAACAAUAACAAUCUAACAUCUAACAAUCUUGGUCAUUGAAAUUUUGACAAGGAUUGUACAAACAGACAUAUUCUCUAAAUGCCACAGUUCCAACAGCAAGAUCAACAACAGAUUUCUUCCAUCCAUAUCUAAAAGUAAAAAAAUUGAAUCAACCAACAAUUCCCCACAAACAAAUAAGUGUAUGAAUAGACUUGCAUGCCUUAGUUAACAUUGAUAUCAGUAACAUUUAGUCAGAAUCAACAUAUUAAGAACCAAACAAUUAGUAUUAAUUCCAAUGUUUGUUUUGAUAAACAAGCAUCAGACAGAUAACAAUUCACCACAAUCAAACUGAAUCAACAUUAAACUGAUCAAUUAAUUAUCAAAGAGAGAAAGGAAGAAAUAGAUGGACAUACCUGUUGACGAAUCCGGGAAGAAGAUGGCGGCGAGCUUGGCCUUGGAGGUGUCGACAGCGCGGGUCAGAGGAGGUUGAGGACGGACCGGGUCUGGGAGACGAGGGUGCGGAUCAGAGAGGAAGUUGAGGAUGGGAGCGGAUGCGGGUCUGGGAGCCGAGGGCGUGGACGGGAGGGGUUGCGGGUCUGGGAGCCAAGGGCGAGGGUCAGAGAGGAGGUUGAGGACGAGAGAGGGCGUGGGUCUGGGAGCCGAGGGCGGGGGUGGAGGAGGUUGAGGACGGGAGAGGGCGGGGGUCUGGGAGCCGAGGGCGAGGGUGGAGGAGGUUGAGGACGGGAGAGGGCGCGGGUCUGGGAGCGGAGGGGGCGGAGCAGAUGCAGAUCUGGGAGAUGAAGGUGGAGGAGUUGUGGAGGAGGCGUAGAGAGGUUAGUGAGAUUAGUGAGGUCUUAUCUAAGGUAGGAUUUUCGGAAUACCCACGAUAACACCGGUUAAGGAGGAGAAAUCAGAAAACCGGUCCUAGUUAAGCCCAUUAAUGUUAGUACCGAGAGAGACCAAACGUGGGAUUAGCUUUGUUUCACUCCUUAUUUAAGAUUGGCUUAGGUAGUACCGGGUACCAAACAUACCCUUACUAAUCUUGUUUAUCCAAGACAAAUGUUGGGUCAGACAACAAAGGACUACUAGUCAGAUAUGUAAUUGUUUUUGGGUGAAAUAGUUAUAUAUUUUGGAUCAACAUAUAUAGAGAAAAUCUGGCUUGUGCGACCAACCCCACAGAAGCUAACACAUGUCACUUUUUUCUCCACGUCAACGUUGCUGAAAACACAACAAAAGCUCUGGUUCGUUUCCGACUACACUUUUCGCCGCUUCGCCAAGAACCGCCUAUUGCACCAAGCAGAACAAUCUCUACACCCUUGAAACCCUCCUCCAUCACGUCAACCAACACCACCACCUCAAGCUCACUCAUGAACGCCUGCACAUAGGGAUCCACUACAUCACAUUCUCCAAUCACAAAUCCCUCCGGUCGUGUUUGGAUUACCUGGAUUACCCCACUGGCAAGAACGCAAGAUCCCCAACUCUCACCCAUCUAACUCGUCCUCCCUUAAAACCCUAAAUUUCCCGAUCUUCCCCUCGAUAACUCCCCCUUCUCCAAACACAUCUGAACAACAAUGGCUUCUGUGUGGAGAAGGAAAUUAAAGGUUAGGAAGAUGCUGACGUGGAGAAAAAGUCUCAUGUGUCAGCUUAUGUGUGGCUGGUCACACAAGUCAUCUGGUGCGGCUGUUGCAUGCCAAAUUUUCUCACAUAUAUAACUUGGGUCAGAGAAAAUAACAAUUUGAGUACAAGUACUUACAUGGAAACAUAUUUUUUCGGUUAAUUUAUAGUUUUUGAGCUCAUCAUAAGUUCACGGGAAAAAGAUGUGACCGUUGUAAUUAAAAAUACUGAAGAAUUAACGCGCGAAAUGUUUAAAACCAUAAAAGUUAGAGUUAAUUGAUUAGUGUAAUUUCUAAUACUCUUUGUUAUGAUACAACUGUUGCACCAGAGGAAGACUAGAAAAGCAAAAUCCAAGACCAAAAAUAUAAAUGGGAAGGUUUUGUGAUUUAAUUCAUCUGCAGACAAAGGAAUGGAGCAUACAUGUCACUGAAGUUGAUGACAUGGCAACGAGUAAUUGGUGAAUUGCAGCUAGUGAUUAGUUCAUCAAGGCUUGUUGUACUGCAGGUGUCCUUCAUUCAGUCGGGCACGCUGUACUGAGAGGCUACCACCCUCUUUCUGAGGAGCCCUAGCUAGAAUAAAUACAUGUCAUUUACCUCUAUCUUUCUCCCCCGCAGAAAUAUUAUUGUCUGAAAUCAACUAGCUCGAUCAGUGCCUCCCUCCUUUGCUCUCUCAUAAUUUAGG
This 2612-nucleotide long non-coding RNA is filed under the name Fragaria vesca (wild strawberry). RNAcentral describes it as "long non-coding RNA (FVES_LNC000554)". The record is from RNAcentral. Lineage: Eukaryota; Viridiplantae; Streptophyta; Magnoliopsida; Rosales; Rosaceae.